CCUACGGGUGGCAGCAGUCGAGAAUCAUUCACAAUGGGGGAAACCCUGAUGGUGCGACGCCGCGUGGGGGAAUGAAGGUCUUCGGAUUGUAAACCCCUGUCAUGUGGGAGCAAAUUAAAAAGAUAGUACCACAAGAGGAAGAGACGGCUAACUCUGUGCCAGCAGCCGCGGUAAUACAGAGGUCUCAAGCGUUGUUCGGAUUCACUGGGCGUAAAGCGUGCGUAGGCUGUUUCGUAAGUCGUGUGUGAAAGGCGCGGGCUCAACCCGCGGACGGCACAUGAUACUGCGAGACUAGAGUAAGGGAGGGGGAACCGGAAUUCUCGGUGUAGCAGUGAAAUGCGUAGAUAUCGAGAGGAACACUCGUGGCGAAGGCGGGUUCCUGGACAUUAACUGACGCUGAGGCACGAAGGCCAGGGGAGCGAAAGGGAUUAGAUACCCUGGUAGUC
RNAcentral lists this ribosomal RNA (446 nucleotides) under uncultured bacterium. RNAcentral's name for it is "partial 16S ribosomal RNA". It matches the Rfam family "Bacterial small subunit ribosomal RNA", at positions 338 to 795 of the family's 1533-position model. The record is from RNAcentral.